CUUUAUUAAGGGCAUAACAAGUAUUACACAAACUUUUUUAGGAAAGUAGAUGCUCAACCAAACAUAAGUUGCUUUCCUAUGAUCAAAUAAACAUGCAAAAGCCACUUUCCUAUGCUUCAUAUUUUCAGGCAUUAGCUUCCUAGAAAAAUAUUUCGGUGAGAGAAAAUUCUUCCUGUGAACCAAACAAGUCCUUAGAUCUAGGCUAACAAAAUGGAAGACUCUCUCUCUAAAAGCUCCUUGAACUUUGUAAGAUUUUGACACCAAUCCAUAUGGGCAAUGCCAUCAUCUAUGUUGUAGACAUCUCGUCAUUUAAGAUCUCUCUUUUCUCUAGAUACCUAAGUCCACUCUAUAUUUUUUUAAUGAAAGCGCUCUUUUGUCCA
RNAcentral lists this long non-coding RNA (380 nucleotides) under Phoenix dactylifera (date palm). RNAcentral describes it as "long non-coding RNA (PDAC_LNC002147)". Lineage: Eukaryota; Viridiplantae; Streptophyta; Magnoliopsida; Arecales; Arecaceae. The record is from RNAcentral.